This 323-nucleotide ribosomal RNA is filed under the name uncultured Bacillota bacterium. RNAcentral describes it as "bacterial SSU rRNA". It matches the Rfam family "Bacterial small subunit ribosomal RNA", at positions 28 to 351 of the family's 1533-position model. Lineage: Bacteria; Bacillati; Bacillota. The record is from RNAcentral.
GACGAACGCUGGCGGCGUGCCUAACACAUGCAAGUCGAGCGGAGAUUAUAGUAAUGUAAUCUUAGCGGCGGACGGGUGAGUAACGCGUGGGCAACCUGCCUCGAACUGGGGGAUAACACAGGGAAACUUGUGCUAAUACCGCAUAACAUCAUGAAAGGACAUCCUUUUAUGAUCAAAGGAGUAAUCCGGUGAGAGAUGGGGCCCGCGUCCAAUUAGCUAGUUGGAGGUGUAACGGACCACCAAGGCGACGAUUGGUAGCCGAACUGAGAGGUUGAUCGGCCACAUUGGGACUGAGAUACGGCCCAGACUCCUACGGGUGGCAG